UAGAGAAUAGUAUAAGGGAGUACAAGGGAUUUUGAGUCCCUAGGUGUAAGUUCGUAUCUUAUUUUUCUAA
This 70-nucleotide transfer RNA is filed under the name Protoblepharus medogensis. Its description in RNAcentral is "tRNA-Glx". It matches the Rfam family "tRNA". From Rfam's summary of the family: Transfer RNA (tRNA) molecules are approximately 80 nucleotides in length. Their secondary structure includes four short double-helical elements and three loops (D, anti-codon, and T loops). Lineage: Eukaryota; Metazoa; Chordata; Lepidosauria; Squamata; Scincidae. The record is from RNAcentral.